This 524-nucleotide ribosomal RNA is filed under the name uncultured microeukaryote. RNAcentral's name for it is "SSU rRNA". It matches the Rfam family "Eukaryotic small subunit ribosomal RNA", at positions 26 to 549 of the family's 1831-position model. The record is from RNAcentral.
UGGAAUAUGCUUGUUUCAAAGAUUAAGCCAUGCAUGUCUGAGCAUGCGCUGAAGUAAAGUGAAGCCGCGAAUAGCUCAUUACAACAGCCGUUGUUUCUUGGAUCCCUUCUCUACUUGGAUAACUGUGGUAAUUCUAGAGCUAAUACAUGCAAUCAAGCCCUGAUCGUGAGUGACGGGCGCAUUUAUUAGAACAAGACCAUCUGGCAUUAUGCCAUUUGUUGGUGACUCUGAAUAACUGAGCCGAUCGCACGGGCUUGUCCCGGCGACGUAUCUUUCAAGUGUCUGCCUUAUCAGGUUUCGUUGGCGGUUUAUGUGACCGCCAAGCCUGUAACGGGUAACGGAGGAUCAGGGUCUGACUCCGGAGAGGGAGCCUGAGAAACGGCUACCACUUCUAAGGAAGGCAGCAGGCGCGCAAAUUACCCAUUCUUGGCUCAAGGAGGUAGUGACGAAAAAUACCAAGGUGAGGCUCAUUGAGCUUGACCAUUGGAAUGAGAACAAUCUAAAUCCUUUAACGAGGAUCUAGU